Molecule: long non-coding RNA, 615 nt
Organism: Anguilla rostrata (American eel)
Lineage: Eukaryota; Metazoa; Chordata; Actinopteri; Anguilliformes; Anguillidae
Exons: 2
Source: RefSeq, a predicted model, not a curated record
UGAACCCCACAUUAACUUACAGGUGAACCCCACAGUAACAUACAGGAGAACCCCACAUUAACUUACAGGAGAACCCCACAUUAACUUACAGGUGAACCCCACAGUAACAUACAGGAGAACCCCACAGUAACAUACAGGAGAACCGCACAUAAACCUACAGGGGAACCCCACAUUAACAUGCAGGAGAACCCCACAGUAACAUACAGGAGAACUGCACAUAAACCUACAGGGGAACCCCACAUUAACAUGCAGGAGAACCCCACAGUAACAUACAGGAGAACCGCACAUAAACCUACAGGGGAACCCCACAUUAACAUGCAGGAGAACCCCAUAUUAACCUACAGGAGAACCCCACGUUAAUGCAAGCCAUGCGGGAUUUCUGCAACACACAUUUUCAAAGGAUUUAUGUCAGUCGAACUCGUCCCUGGUCCACACUUUUUCUUCGUCAUUCACUGCCUAAUUGACCAAUUAAAAUAGUUGGUUACAUAGUUCAUUGACCUUGCCUGGUCUCUUGGGUCUGAAUUUUUUUUAUUUUUUAAUUGGAGUAUUUUUAAGAGAAAAUCGGAAAAUUAAACUCUGCGGACUCUGGCUAUCCACGACCAGGGCUGAAAAUCA